RNAcentral lists this small RNA (107 nucleotides) under Marmota monax (woodchuck). Lineage: Eukaryota; Metazoa; Chordata; Mammalia; Rodentia; Sciuridae. The record is from RNAcentral.
GCUGGGCUUAGUGGUGCAAGCCUGUAAUCCCAGUAGCUCAGGAGGCUGAGGCAGGAGGAUCAUAAGUUCAAAGCCAGCCUCAGCAACUUAGCAAAACCCUGUCUCAA